CCGGUUAUGACAUUUAUUAUCCGGAUAAACUGUUUAAGUACUAGAUAUUGUGAAUAGAAUAAACCGGUUUUAGCUACGGAUAAAAUUAUUUUUAUGUAACUAGGGAUUUCUUCUUAAAACAAUAGUGUGUCAUCUUUCUUUCGACUUGUAAUCUGGAUAAAAAAACUAAGACUGGUAUAUUAAAAUGAUUAAAUAAGGUAUAUAGUAAACUCUGCCAGUUGAAAUAUGACUGAUUAUAUCGUUGUUAUUUGGAUAAUCUAUAACAUAAGACUAUAAGUUUUCUGAGUAUGUUAAACAUAAAACCGGAUAUUAACAAUAGUAUCUCGAUUCUAGGAAACAGAAGGAUAAACUCAAUGAUAACUAGAUAACAACUACAUAGCUACUUAGUUAUUAGAAUAUGAUAUCAAAUAUGCUAACGGGAUGCAUUUGUCAUACACAAUCACCGAAACACAAAUUUUAUGUUUUUUCCCUGUGUUUAUCCUUCUCAAAGUUUUGAACCAUCUGUGUAAGCCUUGAAUCUUGGUAAAAAAAGUUAAGCUAUGUUUGAUCUGUCUUAUCUAGCUUGAGACCCCUCCAAUCGAAUCAAGAAAAUGACGGGAAAGAUUGUGAAGUGAGACCUACUGAGGGACACCAAAACAGUCUUGCUUUGUAAAAAAAAUUAUGAAUCUGAACAAAGUAAAACAGACCAACUCACAUGGUAACCCAUCUGAAAGAACGUUAAGGUAAAGAUGCUUCUUAGAGAACUCUGCUGGUAACACAACCCCCAUGCCAAUCAUAAAUGGGGAAAGGACCACAACUAAAUAACAAUAAAAAGAAAGAUACAAACUGUAAACCUUUUUCAGCCAUCACUUUAAGCAAAGUGAAUAUGGGAGAGAGAACCUGAGCAACAAGCAUGAGAGGAGAUUGGGUAGAACAAGGGUUUGAGGAGGAGAUUGACCCAUGAGCUCAGACGGAGGUGCGGAGGAAGAAGAAGACAUGCGAUGUUGACGAGAGUUAAUCUCAGCACAGUUGUUGUUGGUUUUGUCUCUCGCGUUCUUGGUGCCCAUAUCUGAGAGAGACAGAGAGGAUACAGACAAACAGUAAUCUAAUGCUUGUGUGUGUGUGGACGGAACAUGACCGGAUUUAAAGGUCUUGGAACUGCUUGACGGUGAGGUCUUCGUAUUUGAUGGUGGCGAGGAGGUGGUGAUUCUCGAGGUGGGACUUGACGGAGCCUACGGUUUUUCUUUUGUUGUUAAACGAGACACGGGAAUUUUGAUGAAAGGGAGAAGAGUGUCCUUUGGGGAGUUGGAUCUCAAACUAUAUUUUUAGAGGAUAAUACGUAUAGAUCUCGAAAAUGAUAAGUGACGAAAUUUAGUUAGAGAGAGGAAUAUCAGAUUAUCAGGUGAGCUAGAAUAACUUCAAAAUUGAAUGUUUUUAGUUUCAGAUGUCAAGAGAUGGCGUGAAGUAGUAGAGUUCAGUAGGGUAAUAAUUACAACUACUUUAUCAUGUAUAACUGCAGAGAAGCUCAAUGUGUCAGACUCGCCUGAGAUCUAGUGUAGGGGCAAGGAUGGAAUUAUGAAAGUGUAAAAGUGUCAUAACCAUUCACCUAGUAACGUUUUGUUUUAUGGUCAUCGGCUGCAAUUACUCUAAGAAGUAACCAAAAUCUGAAAAUAUAAUUUAAAAAAGAAAUAAUUUAUGUAUAUAUUGUAUUGUUGUCUGAAAAAGUUUUUUAGUUAAAAGUUAAAAACAUAAAUUAUAUAAAUAAAUAUUAAUCAAAUAAAAUUCUUAAUUAUAUAAUUAAAAAUGGAAUAUUGAAUUAUCCAAAAUCUAACAAUAUAAUUAAAAAAAAAAGAUAAUCACAAUACUAAAAGGGGGAUUUCCUCUCCCCUUAAGCAUGCCACGUCAUUUUAUUUAAUCGACCAAUCAGAGCUUUUUAAUUUCGGAUUGGGCUUCGGAUUUGAUUUUAUGGGCUUCGUUUCAAUUACAGGUUAUGGGUCUUUUUGUUUUGCCGUACAAUUUUGUUUUUCCUAAACCUAGCUCUCUACGGGAGGAAGUCGCGAGACUGCGAGGCUCUUCUCCUCAUCCCAAUUCACUUCGUCUUCUCACCUUUAAACCGUAGACCAAUCAGCUCCACUUCUCCGAUUUGAAGGCUGGUCGUUUGGAUGACAGAGUUGUCACAAGUCUUCUUCGUUUUUGGGAGGCUAGGAACGUUAAGAAAUCUGGUGAGCUUAUGAGUGUGGAUUUCAUGCUCCUCAAUGAGAAGUGCCGUCGAUAUUCCAAGAUUAGGGGGAAGAAAGUCACAGUUGGUCUUAUCUCUGCAACCCCUCUGAACGCAACACUACUCUUUCCAACGGAGGCGUUAAAACCUAGAUUGCUCUUUUUUAGGCUGCAACCUGAUACUUGGUGUGAGGCGGGAAGCUCGCAAGGUGUGAAGCGUGAAAGUGAGACUGAAACUGAAACGGAUGCCUGACUCAGAGAACCGGCUAGCUUCUCUUUGAUUUUUUUUUUCUAUCAUAUAUAUGGCUUAACAAUCUUAUGCUUUUCGAAAAGGUUUGGAGAAAAUCCAUGGUUACAAUAGAAAUAUAGAGCCACCACUGUGACGACAUUUAAAACAAUUGGAGGCAAUGCAGAGAAGAUUGCUGGUUAGUAGUUCCGGUCACUGGUGAGGUAACAAUGGUGUAGAAACUCUCGAGAGUUCUUUUGUGGGUUCAAAAAGAAAACAUGGCAAUGGUGGUGAAACACAUUUCAAUGAGCUUAGCAAUGGAGACACUGGGAAAACAGCUAUGGUUUCAAGAGGAGAGUUGACUUUUCAAAAUAUUUACGGUGCAGAGGCAUUGCUGAAUGCAGAAGAUGAGGACGGCUAUAGUGAUUGGGAACCUCUGCAGCAGAAGAUGCUAGUUGAGUUUGUGAAAUGGUGUUGCUUCAAUUGCACUAUGGCAAAUCCUGGUGAUAUGGUUCAUUGUUAUGUAUAUUUUGCUUACUUUUUCAUGUUUGAAUAAUUUUGUUUCUGAUCUUAUCAUUACCAGCGUCUGCAAUUACUUGGCUGAGGCAUGGAUAUUUUGCAUCUCUGUUAUUUAAAAGACACUGGUCUCUCACCGAAGUCGAAGAGAAAUGUGGAGGAAAUUCAUCUGCAGCUAGCUCAACAGCUGUUGGUUUUGAGGAGAUAAUGUUGCUGCACUCAGAAGUAUGAAUUUGUACCUGUUAUAGUUUCAUGAGAUAUCUGUUGACGUCAAUACAAUUUAUUUACCUCCAAAGCUUUUCUUCGUGCAAUUAUUUCGCAAGAGCUCCAGAUGGUCUACACUUUAGAGCAUGUUAAUUUCACAAGCCAGCUUCUCUAUAGCUACUUCACCGCCGACACAUACUAAUAAGUAUUGAGCACCUGCUGCUAAUCUAGCAGCAGGUUUGUGUGCUGAUCUAGCUAAGGAAAUUUCCUCAUGAUAAAAUGUUAAUCAGCCGGGAACUUAGAAGCUCAUUAUGAUUAAGCUCAGGUCAGAUUGCAGUUUUGGUGAGCCUGACAUGAACUGCUCGACAAGUUCGACAAAGUAUGGGGGUGUUCAGAAAAUUUAAACUAUGACGGUCUCUGAGCUAAACGCUUAUGUCCUCCAUUGUCAACCGCAUGUGCAUUCCGUUCCUGGUCCAUUCUGCUAAAUGUUAUCACAACAAUAUACAUAUUACACACAUGUAAUAUUACGUCUACAUCUUCAGUUGAUUAUUUUGUUCUGGUACUUAUCUUUUACCAGCUUAAACUUUAACGGUUUCGAUAGAUAAAUGUUUGGUUUAUCUCA
Molecule: long non-coding RNA, 3764 nt
Organism: Brassica napus (rape)
Lineage: Eukaryota; Viridiplantae; Streptophyta; Magnoliopsida; Brassicales; Brassicaceae
Exons: 9
Source: RefSeq, a predicted model, not a curated record